AUUGAACGCUGGCGGCAGGCCUAACACAUGCAAGUCGAGCGGGUGAAGGGAGCUUGCUCCUGGAUUCAGCGGCGGACGGGUGAGUCAUGCCUAGGAAUCUGCCUGGUCGCGGGGGAUAACGUCCGGAAACGGGCGCUACUACCGCAUACGUCCUGAGGGAGCAAGUGGGUGGGCCUCGGACCUCUCGCUAUCAGAUGAGCCUAGGGCGGAUUAGCUAGUUGGUGGGGUAAAGGCCUACCAAGGCGACGAUCCGUAACUGGUCUGAAGGGAUGAGCCGGCACACUGUAACUGAGACACGGUCCAGACUCCGACAGGAGGCAGCAGUGGGGACUAUUGGACGAUGGGCGAAAGCCUGAUCCAGCCAUGCCGGGUGUGUGAAGAAGGUCUUCGGAUUGUAAAGCACUUUAAGUUGGGAGGAAGGGCAGUACGUUAAUACCUGGCGAUUUUGACGGUACCAAAAGAAUAAGCACCGGCUAACUUCGUG
RNAcentral lists this ribosomal RNA (484 nucleotides) under uncultured bacterium. RNAcentral's name for it is "partial 16S ribosomal RNA". It matches the Rfam family "Bacterial small subunit ribosomal RNA", at positions 30 to 507 of the family's 1533-position model. The record is from RNAcentral.